Molecule: ribosomal RNA, 468 nt
Filed under: uncultured bacterium
Lineage: Bacteria
Description: partial 16S ribosomal RNA
Rfam family: Bacterial small subunit ribosomal RNA
Source: RNAcentral
GACGAACGCUGGCGGCGUGCUUAACACAUGCAAGUCGAACGGAAAGGCCCUGCUUUUGUGGGGUGCUCGCGUGGCGAACGAGUGAGUAACACGUGAGUAACCUGCCCUUGACUUUGGGAUAACUUCAGGAAACUGGGGCUAAUACCGGAUAGGAGCUCCUGCUGCAUGGUGGGGGUUGGAAAGUUUCGGCGGUUGGGGAUGGACUCGCGGCUUAUCAGCUUGUUGGUGGGGUAGUGGCUUACCAAGGCUUUGACGGGUAGCCGGCCUGAGAGGGUGACCGGCCACAUUGGGACUGAGAUACGGCCCAGACUCCUACGGGAGGCAGCAGUGGGGAAUAUUGCACAAUGGGCGGAAGCCUGAGGCAGCAACGCCGCGUGCGGGAUGAAGGCCUUCGGGUUGUAAACCGCUUUCGCCUGUGACGAAGCGUGAGUGACGGUAAUGGGUAAAGAAGCACCGGCUAACUACGUG